UGCAAGAAAUUCUUCGCGACGAGAGAAGGAAAAGGCGAGAGGCCCUAAGAAGAAACUUCCGCUUGCACACAAUUCCCGACUCUGAAUUCGUAAAUAACUACCGUCUGAGUUCCAAACGCUGUGUGAAGAGAUUGUCCCGUUUCUUCCUCCAAGGAUACGACACCGGGGUAUUGAUCCCAUAAUGAAGGUAAAACUCAACAAGUAUCUUAUUUUCAUAUUACCUUUAACCAUAAAAAUCAGACGAUAAAUAACGUAAAUAUCAGACAAUGAUAAAACAUAACUGACUAACAUAAUUUCCGGAUUUAUUUCAGAUUUUGGUAGUAUUAAACUUCUAUGCAAGGGGCAGUUAUCAAGGUGCCGUAGGCCUCAACAGCGAUGUGACUCUGAUUGCCUUAUAUUGAGUAUUGAUGCAUCAUACACAUCAUCAUACAUUGGGCAUAUGGGCCCAACAUGAGAUAAAAGCUCACAUGGAAGAACUCUCAAUACAGGGAUAGACUACAUACCUACUGGGUGACUCAGGGUAUCCUCUCCGGUCAUUCAUGAUGACUCCAGUGGACCAUGCAGUAGACGACUCACCUGAAGGGCGCUACAAUAUAAUUCAGAAACGUGCCCGUUCCACUGUAGAGCGCACAUUUGGAAUACUAAAAGGGAGAUGGAGAUGCUUAUUAGCCACCAGAGAAUUAAAUUACACUCCUGAGACCGCUGGCAAAAUUGCAAUUGCAUGCAGUAUAUUGCACAACAUGUGCAUACAUGCUCGGCUCGACCAUCCUGAAUUAACAGAGGAGGACCUCGCAGCUGAGAACGCCCUGCCCAUUCCCCAGCAAGCUGCAAUUCCACAAGGACGGGCAUUGGAGGAAGGAAGAAGAGUACACAGAGUACUAAUACAUUUAUUAGAGGCAUAAUAUGCCCCCGGCUUUGUACGGAUAUACUUAUAUAAGACAAAACAAUCCUUAUUGUGAGGUUGUAGAAGAGAUUACUUUUAGUAAUACGGCCACUGAUUGUACUAUUUCUUUUCUAUGUUUGUGAAACUGUUUCUGUUUGUGUGCAAUAAAGAGUAUUUUAUCUUUACCUACCUAUAUUUUUUUAAUUUUCAUUGUUUCUGGUAUGAAUGUGUUUCUAUUAUAUCCAUAAAAAUAUGGUUUUACCGAUCCUAAGAUACUUACUUUGUGUGGAUACAUCUAUUCAUGCUAACACACUUAUUUAUAAAGAAUAAAACAAUUUUUCUAAAUGAGAGAUUUUUAUUUUUUGGUUUCAGUCAAAUAUUGCUACUUAUUGCUUAAACACUGAUAAAAUGCACUGUUUUCGCGCAGCCCCCCAAAGCAUUCAGCUUUUGGGCGAUUUCCUGCCACAGGCGAUUGCUUCGCACUCUCCCAUCUACGCUCCUCAUACGACCGCGCGCGAGGUCUUGGUGCUCAAAUAAGAACUCCAAGAGCUCUUGAGUCGUUGGAUCUCUUCUGCGCCCGUUAGGGCGCAGGCUUCGAGUCUUGAGGAGUCCCUCUUUACCCGGGCUUCUGCUCCAGGGCCUACUAGCUCCUGGGUCCGUGGGGCCGCCUGUUCAGUCAGGCGGCGUCUGGUUGGUGUUCAACGUCUCAGUGAGCCGCCGCAUCGACUGGUUGCCGACGACAGCAGCUCACGAGGGAAAAGAGCUCUUGAAUCUGCUCCGUACUGCAGUUCCCAGACCCAGCCAUGGUAGAAAGAAAUUAACUUUGGCGCGUUCAACUUCAACUUAACUUUAUUUUGUGUUUGAUUUUUUUAUGAGCCUCUUUGACAGAAAAUCACAGACUACCAUAGUGAAAAAAGUAGAGUAAAAAUAUUUUGAUUUUAUCAAAAAUUUGUAAUUUAAACGUCUCUGCGUGAAAAAUCAUUUAAAUAAAUCAGUUUAAUGUACAAAAAACAAACAGCGCAUUUAAAUUUUACGUAGAAAUGAUAAUAUGCAAUGUUUUAAUAAAACCGGUAAUUUACCGAUAAGCCACUUGAAAGCCCAACCAAUACAUUCAUUCAUUACACUAUUUCGUUCAUUCACGUAGUACCUCUAUGAUUUGUCUAUGAUUUUCGAAGAACGUAGCGCGGCCGAAGUUGGUACAGAGUACCGAUAUGCCGUCAUUAACUUACGGUUUUCGAUUU
Molecule: long non-coding RNA, 2124 nt
Organism: Plutella xylostella (diamondback moth)
Lineage: Eukaryota; Metazoa; Arthropoda; Insecta; Lepidoptera; Plutellidae
Source: RefSeq, a predicted model, not a curated record